This is a non-coding RNA of Ictidomys tridecemlineatus (thirteen-lined ground squirrel), 1619 nucleotides long. The record is from RefSeq and is a predicted model, not a curated record. NCBI's taxonomy places the organism in Eukaryota, Metazoa, Chordata, Mammalia, Rodentia, Sciuridae.
AUAGAUAGAUAGAUAGAUAGAUAGAUUGAGAUAUUAUUCCUGUAAAGCUUAGGGACUGGCCUCUAGAUAAAUUCUGUAUUUGUGUUCAUUAUGUGUCCUAAGGAAUUAGCCUUUCUCCUGCAAGAAGAUCCUUAGCUAGAAAACUGUGAUAUUUUAAAAUUCCACAGAAGCUGCCUGGUGAGUCCUGAGAUGGUAUAGCCUGUGCUUUUUGAGAACCUGACCUUUUUUCUACCCCUUCCUUUAUCUUAUCAGCUGCUGCCCACGAGUCAUCUAGCAAACAGGCAAAGAGGGAAGGGGAUCAUGGCAAACUCCAAUGCAAAGGGGACAUGACAGCCCUGGUCAGUCAUGUUCAGUUUAAUUCUGUCAUUUCCAGUUUAAGUCCUAAAGCAGUAAGGACUAAUUCUUGGGAUUUCUCCUCCUGCUUCUCUUUCUUUCUUCCUUCCUUCCUAUCUCUGUGUGCGCCAGACGUUAAGAUCUUUCUGGGAAAAGCAGCCCUGUCUAUCAGGGGAUUCUUAAUGUGUUACUCCCCCCCCAAAAAAAAAAAACUUUUUUUUUUAAUGGUCACUCAGUAAAAUCAGGAAAUAGAUGUGAAAAGUAUGUUGUGUGCUCUGCAUAAACAACUAUCUAAUUCAUCCCCAACCAGACCAACUUCAGUUACUGCAAUGGGAUGAUUCGGGACACCCUCAUCAACGCUAUUGAUGACAUCCAACUUGCGGUGUGGUGAUCCAUGGUGGGGAGUCACAACAGGAGAGGCAGCUUUGAGCAGGUGGUGGUGGUGACACAAAUCCUGUAAGGCCCUUGAUUCUCAUCUACACUGUGUGUGGGGAGGGAGUAGGUGUGGGCCGGCUGGAAAUAAAAAACGAGACAAGCAGUAUUAAGAAAUAAACACAAAAGAUGUGAAGCGCAUAUUCAAAGCCAGGGCUUGACUGGUGGAAGAGACCUGAUGAGUCUGAUCCUAACAAAGAUAAAAGCCCUUGAAUUCUUUAUUUAUAGUGAAAGACAUCAAAGGGAUUCAGUGAGGAGCUUCUUCAGGAAAACAGAAUAAGAAUGGGGAAAACAAGAUGUUUGGGACUUGGCAGGUGACGCCCAUCUCUUAGCAGCUGCGUUUGAACCUAGGGCUGUGAGCUAAGGUAGGGCUUUGGCAUGAUCUGGGCUUUCUUGAACUGAGGCAUUUCACCCGGGAGUUCCCCCAAAAAGCAGCAGCUUCCCUGCUUUAUGGUGGCUCAAACAAACCUACAGUUCAUACAUGGCUUCCAACAUCUGACUACAGGACAGCCCCUCUAAUUCCCAUAAACAGGUCUUGUUCCUGCCAGAGCUCAGGAGAUCAACCCAGAAGCACAGCCUACAGGGGCUCCAACCACCCAGAGAACGGGAGGACAAACUGGGUUCAUGGAAGAGCUAUAUUGUCUCCAGUCUUAAAAUUUUCGUGAACAACCCUCGUCCCCAUCACCCAGAGAGGAAGACCUCUUCUCAAAAGCACUUGCAGCAAGAAACUGUCCUGAUCCCUUCUGUUGACUCCCGUUCUUCUCUAAACAACUUCUUUUCCUGAGGCAGGGGAAGAUACUUGGUCUAGCUCCUUAGGAUGGACAAGGAGAUACAGAUACGUGUGAGUGGAUAAA